Molecule: long non-coding RNA, 3495 nt
Filed under: Homo sapiens (human)
Lineage: Eukaryota; Metazoa; Chordata; Mammalia; Primates; Hominidae
Description: HSALNT0316544
Rfam family: SOX2 overlapping transcript exon 3 (bases 561-836)
Source: RNAcentral
CAUCAGUUUGUAAUCCAGCCCAUGGUUUCCUAGAUACCGUAUUGUCUAUUCUGUUCCGCUAUGUGAAAAAUGUUGAAUAUCAACAAUGGGUUUCAGUGCUGUAUUGUUGAGUUUUGUAUGAACUAAUCUAGCUUCUCUAAAAAAAAAAAAAAAAAAAAAAAAAAGAAAGAAAAGAAAGAAAGAAAAGAAAGAAAGAAAGAAAAAAAAAGAAAAGAAAAAAAAGAGAACCACAGCUUUGGACAAAAGUCUAUAGCCAGUGCAUUUGAAAACUCCCCUUGCACCAGGGCUGACUGUAGCUGGGGGAAGACAUUUUACUCAUUUGCUCUUUCCUUUCAUACAGUCAGCUGGUCCCUCUUCUCAGGUGUAGAUCACCUAUUAUAAUUUUACCUAAUUUUGAUACUCUGAUAAGGAAAGUCCCAGGACUUAUCAGCUGGGAUAGGCCUCACUUACAAGACAGCUCUGUUCAGUAUUUGGAAGAAAGAAAGCCUGACAGGUUUCUUCGGAAAAGUGGCCAUCCAUGGAAUGAAUGAAAUGUUCUCUUUCUAUUCCAGGGAUUGCAGUGGCAAAGCUAGGCUAGGUCUUGGAGGCUGGUGUAAGGCGAUGUGGGUGAAGGCAGGAGGCUGAUGGAAAGACUGGGGGGAAGAAAAGCCGAAAUGGAUUCACGGUGCCUUGGAUGAAGGACGAGAGGGGAACUGCAAGCUCCUUCAACUGGUUCUGUCCGGUGAGAAGUGAUCAAGCUUGGGCUGACAAGAGGCUCAGGGAGCCCUCACGUUCUUUCGCUUUUUUACCUGCCAAUCAAACUGCUACAAGACAACACCCUGAUCUGGCAUGGACAUAUCCAACUUAGAAAUAAUGUUUCAUUCAAGAUAAGGCUCGUGGCUUAGGAGAUUGUGACCUGGCUUGCAUCAUUCUAAGACUUCUAUCGUCUGUUUUCAAAACCCAAGGAGGACCUCCUUUUCUGUGUGAUAGUUCCUCAUGCUUUGCCAGCCACUGGGUCUUUAAGGAAGCUUGCCAAGAGUUCCCGGCUGGGAAGGACAGUUCGAGUUCAUCAUAGACAAUGAGCUGGCACCACAGUUUAAGUGACUCACCAACCUGGUUGCCCACUUCAAAAUGUCAAGAACCACACUAUCUAAUUGAAAGAACUGUGUUUUAGCAAAGUGUAAUUGGAUCGCCUGGCAAGAUCAUCUCAAACUAUGUCUCUGACCUUGCCUUUCAGUGGCUAUUUUGAGCACAAGAGGAGAAAGGAAAUGAUUCCUGAAUUAUAUCUUGUUUUUAAAAAUUAAGAUUAAUUAAUACUUGGUUUUAUGUUCAUUCCAUUGUAGGAACUUAGUGAUUAUUACAAAACAGUCAAAAUAGGUCAUAGCAAAAUGAACGUUUAAGAUUAGGUUAAAACAUUCCUCUGAAAUUUUAGUAUUCACUUUUGAAGUGUCAAUUACUAUAUUUCUGUAAUUUCUCAUUUUUUUCUUGGCUUAGAGUCAAGAUGAAAAAUGAUAUUUGAAUCAAAGACAUUGUUUUGUUAUAUAGCCACUCCUUUCUAAAAUGCAAAUCCACCCUCCCCUCACCAAUGCUUUAUUCUUUGUGCGCGCACACACACACACACACACACACACACACACACACACACACAGACAUACACAGAACCAGCACCCAAAUGGUAGAGGAGGUCCUUCCAAGACUUCUAGGACCUGGAUCAUGUAAGCAGUAGAUGAGAAAAUGAAGUAAGAGAUAUAGAGUAAUAACAAUAAAAGUCAAUGAUUUCAUUUUACAAAAAAGUCAUUGUGUAGUACUCAGAUAUUUUUAAGAGCAAGUAUUAUUAUGACUAAAGUAUAUUAUACUUCUAAAUUAUUAUGAUUCUCAUCUAAUUUCAAGCCACACAUAGGCGCCAUUUGAAAGCAUUUUGUGUUACAACCUAUCAACAAAAAUCAACUAAUAGUUUUAUAACGUGCAUAGGUUUACCCCAUGGGGAAUUAAAAUUUUUAUCUGCAAGUAUUUCUGUUGUUGUGAGACUUUAGGACAAGACAACAUUUGGUGUUAACAUAGAAGAAUAUUCUAUGGCUUUUUUAGCUUUAAAGUUCAUUACUCUAAAAUAAAGUACACGUGGUAUUUUUUUCUUCCUAGUGUUCUCUUAUUAUAUGUAGAGUAUUUUCGGUUGUUGUUUUUAACGUAUACAUUAUUUUUAUUAAGUCAUUUCAUAAAAGAUAAGAUAUAUACUAAUAGACCCUUGGUUUUCUCCUAAUUUAAUUAUUUCAAGUCAAGCAAAAUUGGGCAAUUUUCUUUCAGGAAAAAAAAAAUAUUGAGCAUGAUUUUGAGGUAAAACUGAUUAUUUACAGCAUCUUUUCUCUAAUAGGCUAACAUUUAUGAUGGAUCUUAUUUCAAAGUUGAUUAUUCUCAAAGAAAAGUGGAGAUAUUAGAAUUUCCGAGUAAAUUGCAUUGUUUUAAAAAGUACUUUAAUGCAUUGUUCACAUUGUUGCCAGCUAUUGACCAAAAAAGAGAAGAAGAAAAAAGAAAUAAAAAAAGCAGUAUCUGCUCCAAACGUCAAGUUUUGCAGUUUGAAAGACUUGUACAUUAUAAUUGUUUUUUUCUUUUUUGGAAAGCAGUAGUAAUUAAUACCAAAGGCAUAGACAAUUUAGGGCCAUAACCUCCCUUCCCCCCUCUCCACCUUUUUUUUUUUUUUUUUUUUUUUUUAACUUUAACCAUGAUAGGCAUCUCUGCAAGGUAGGUUUUAACAUAUUUUUUUCCUAAUUUUUUUCCCUCCAUUCAGUAAGAAGGAUAAGCUUUUAGAGUACCCAGUCACCGUGGUAACUGCCAAAAAAAUUCUCCUGAAGUUUGAAGAGGUCAGCUAGCAGGGUCAACAACCCUGGCCUCUCUCUGAGCUCGGUCUAGCAUGCCCCAGCCUGCGGUUGGAGUGUCAGGCCAGAUCUGACCCUGGGAGGUGGACCAUUCUGGCUCUGAUAUAAAUUUUUCGAGUCAGUUCAUGGCCUGGACUCUCCAGGUGGCCUCCAAAAUCGAUUUUGACCCCCUGACCCUGUCUCACGGAGGCAUAGCAUCCACCCUAAGUAAGGAUUUAGCCAGGAAUGACAGCUUUCCACUGAGUGUUAUUGGGGACAGUAUAAACAGUUUGGAAAGCAAGUAAGGAGGUGUGAGGGCUAGCAAUCAUUAAAAGCACAUUAAAAAACAAUUUUUAAAAAUCUUUAUUAGAGAAAGUUGUAAAUGCAUAUCUGUUACAGAAUUCCUGUGAUUUGUAGAGUUUUCUAGUCAGUUUUGAAUAUAAAUAGGUCACAUAUCUUUAUCUUUUUGCAUACUUUGUUACAAAUAUGCAAAUAAGAUAGGCAUACUUGCUACAAAAUAGGUACAGCAGGAAUGUAAUAUGUUCAGAAAAGGCAAACUGGUUAUUAAAACACAUUAACAGGUAAGGAGUUUCUAAUAUUUUAAAUACUAAAAUUUUACAUGUGUAUUUUGAAGUUUUUAAAAUGGAAAAAUAAAGAACCUUUAAAA